UUCAUCUGGUGUGUAUAAACAUAUUCUUUCUAUGUAUCGCAACCCCCUCAUUUUGAAUCAUUAUUCUAAACAACUUGAAACAAACAAUUAUCUUGCAAAAUAUUAAUAGAUCCAACAGAAACUACUUUUAACAACUUGGCAACCGAAUAUACAAACAAAAACUAAGAGAUUAGGCUAUAGCAUACUAACAUAGUGACAAGCUGUCCAUACUUAUACAUUAGCAUGAGUAGUCAUUCAAAACACAACUGAAUUUCACAAACAAAAAAAAAACAAACUUGCAGAACUGAUCAUUCACAAAGGAUAACUAAUGCGUAUGUCUAAAACUAAAUUCUUACUUGCUAAAUGGGAUGAAAAUAGAAUAAAACAAUACUACUACUUAAAAUCUGGAAUGCAGCCCAAGCAUUCACAUGAUAUUCAACAAAUGAUCCAGAUCCUUUAGUACACAAAUCAUUGGCCAAGACCCUGUUCAGUACACAUACUUGAACAGCAGAAAAAGAAAAUGAGAACAAAGAAAAGUCAGCACCAGCAACAUAGUACUAGCAGCAAUGUAACAGUGUUCAACCAGCUGAAAACCAUCCAGGCCUCAAACCAAACUUCACACAACUCGAAAUCAGACCUCUAGACUUAGAUUUCAAUCCAUUUAUGAACUCAAAUCAUUCAGAAAUUCUUCAGAAAAUUGAAAACCUCUAGAAUUAUAGAAAUGCAAUGGAAUAGUGAUAUUUUUUAGUAUUUACAGCCGUUGUGUUUUUCUUUGAUUUUUC
Molecule: long non-coding RNA, 761 nt
Filed under: Nicotiana benthamiana
Lineage: Eukaryota; Viridiplantae; Streptophyta; Magnoliopsida; Solanales; Solanaceae
Description: long non-coding RNA (NBEN_LNC016032)
Source: RNAcentral